UUUCUUUUUCUUUUUCCUUUUUCUUUUCUUUUCUUUUCUUCUUCUUCCCGGGCUUUUAUUGGGCCGAAACAGGGGACCUUGAGGUCCCCGUGCCUUGAUCGGCCGAUCAAGGCCAUAACAUGGCCGGUGGUGGCCGGCGGCAACGGCCGACCCUCCCGGGUUCGGAGAGACCCGCCGACCGCCGGCACCGAAAAAUCAGAGGAAAGAGGCGGUGAACAGGGGGUUUCCUUCUCCAACUAAAUCCAGCGACACCCGUCGCCGGCCAUCGUGCUCACAGGUACGAAAAAGAAGGGAGAGAAGAGAGGGAGAGAAGGAAGACCUUACCACAACCUCCGGUGACCCCCAUCGGCGUGCAAUCACGGCGAACACGGAUCGAG
This 377-nucleotide long non-coding RNA is filed under the name Elaeis guineensis (African oil palm). RNAcentral's name for it is "long non-coding RNA (EGUI_LNC081871)". The record is from RNAcentral. Lineage: Eukaryota; Viridiplantae; Streptophyta; Magnoliopsida; Arecales; Arecaceae.